Long non-coding RNA from Leptopilina heterotoma, 966 nucleotides. RefSeq lists it as uncharacterized. Lineage: Eukaryota; Metazoa; Arthropoda; Insecta; Hymenoptera; Figitidae. The record is from RefSeq and is a predicted model, not a curated record. The transcript has 6 exons.
UUCCGAGCGUCACAGUUCAUUGACCUCCUUUGAUGGGGCAACUUGGCAAAUAUAAAAUUUAUUUUUAAAAAUUAACCAGAAUUUAAUUUUUCAAAUAGUUUAAUUAUUUUAUUUAAAUUUAAUUGAAAUUAAUUAUCAAUAUUCAAAAUAAAUUCACUUUGUGCCUCGUACAACAGAUUAAAAGUUUUUCGAUUAAGUAGAAUAUUUCGAUCACAGAAAGACAUUACACCACAGUCUUGAAGACAUUGAAGAAGGAACAAUUCUCCAAAGGAAAAAAAAAAAUUUGCAGAUCUGCCCGGAAAUUUCGCUUUCAAGACCAUAAGAAAAGAGAAACAGAAAAUGAAGGGGAUGUGCAAGAAUUUUCCGCAAUGCAACCCAUUUUUCGAGAUUUGGAUCAUCUCUUCCUCCUGAAUAAAUAUUGAAGACUUUUUUUAUUAUUCCGCCAGCCAUUGGUGAACGACAAGCAAGGAAGCUUCGAAACCUCGUUCAGUGAUUAGUUCUCAUUAAAUUAAAAUAUUUUUUGUGUUGUAAAUUAUGUAGAUAGGGAUUUCGAAAAAAAUAUGAUUGUAUUAGCUAGGAAAUUAAAAAUUUCGGUAGGUUUAAGGAAAAUAUUAUAUUUUUAAGUAUACAAGAGGAUUCAACAUCAAGCUUUCAACUUUAUAGGAACAUUCAUUCACCGAAAUUUAUGGUCAUCACACUAACUAACAACUGACAAAUUUUUUACUCAGUUCGCAAUAAGAGGUCAAAAGAGGAACAGGAGCAAAAGGAAUGAAUGAAAUAAAAGAAGACUCACAAGAGGAAAAAAAACUAAACUGAGAGAAGGAUUCAUUAUUACUGGAGAAUUUAUAUCUGCUAGAAUCAAGAGAUAUUUUUUUUUGUACAAUACAAAGCGUUCAAUUACAUUUUAAGUUGAACUAAAACAUGUAAUACUAUAUUAUGAUGCAAUAAAUAGAUUGUUGAAAAAUA